This 233-nucleotide unclassified non-coding RNA is filed under the name plant metagenome. RNAcentral describes it as "partial contains small subunit ribosomal RNA, internal transcribed spacer 1, and 5.8S ribosomal RNA". The stretch from base 1 to 54 matches the Rfam family "Eukaryotic small subunit ribosomal RNA", at positions 1778 to 1831 of the family's 1831-position model. The record is from RNAcentral.
GGAAGUAAGAGUCGUAACAAGGUUUCCGUAGGUGAACCUGCGGAAGGAUCAUUCAUAAUAAAGUGUUUUAUGGCACUUUUUAAAAAUCCAUAUCCACCUUGUGUGCAAUGUUAGAUCUCGUCAAUCUUGGCGAGAUUUUUAUACAUCAACUCAUUCUUUAACUAAUUUGUCUGAAAAAUAUUAUGAAUACUUAAUUCAAAAUACAACUUUCAACAACGGAUCUCUUGGCUCUC